AGACCUCUGAUCAGAAAAGACUACCCGCUGAGUUUAAGCAUAUCACUAAGCGGAGGAGAAGAAACUAACCAGGAUUUCCCUAAUAACGGCAGACGAACCGGAAAAAGCCCAGCU
RNAcentral lists this ribosomal RNA (114 nucleotides) under Leucobryum boninense. RNAcentral's name for it is "partial 26S rRNA". It matches the Rfam family "Eukaryotic large subunit ribosomal RNA", at positions 1 to 114 of the family's 3401-position model. The record is from RNAcentral. Lineage: Eukaryota; Viridiplantae; Streptophyta; Bryopsida; Dicranales; Leucobryaceae.